GCUAAAUUUGACUCGACACGGGGAAACUUACCAGGUCCAGACAUAGCAAGGAUUGACAGACUGAGAGCUCUUUCUUGAUUCUAAGGGUGGUGGUGCAUGGCUGUUCUUAGUUGGUGGAGCGAAGUGUCUUGUUAAUUCCGUUAACGAACGAGACCUCAGCCUACUAACUAGCUAUGCGGAGCCAUCCCUCCGCAGCUAGCUUCUUAGAGGGACUAUCGCCGUUUAGGCGACGGAAGUUUGAGCCAAUAACAGGUUUGUGAUGCCCUUAGAUGUUCUAGGCCAC
Molecule: ribosomal RNA, 283 nt
Filed under: Triticum aestivum (bread wheat)
Lineage: Eukaryota; Viridiplantae; Streptophyta; Magnoliopsida; Poales; Poaceae
Also listed under: 1 other name
Description: rRNA SSU_rRNA_eukarya
Rfam family: Eukaryotic small subunit ribosomal RNA
Source: RNAcentral